GGCAGCAGCUGAAAAUGAAAUAUAAAAACAUACUUCAAGCAGCCAACAGAAAGAAGGCAGAGGCUCAUAAAACAGGAGGAGGACCUACACCACCACUCCUGACAAAUGCAGAAGAGAUGGCCAGUCACUCCAGAAGAUUUAAGUGCCUUCAUAAAAUAUUCGGAUGGUAAU
This is a long non-coding RNA of Fundulus heteroclitus (mummichog), 171 nucleotides long. RefSeq lists it as uncharacterized. NCBI's taxonomy places the organism in Eukaryota, Metazoa, Chordata, Actinopteri, Cyprinodontiformes, Fundulidae. The transcript is spliced from 3 exons. The record is from RefSeq and is a predicted model, not a curated record.